AAGUCGUAACAAGGUUUCCGUAGGUGAACCUGCGGAAGGAUCAUUACCGAAGUCAAGGCCCCUUCGGGGGCUAAACUUCCACCCUUUGUUUACCUUACCAUUGUUGCUUUGGCGGGCCGCCUUAGGCCACCGGCUCUCGAGCUGGUGCGUGCCCGCCAGAGACCCCCAAACCCAAACCAUAUUUAGUGUCGUCUGAAAACAAGUUUAAAUUAUUAAAACUUUCAACAACGGAUCUCUUGGUUCUG
This 245-nucleotide unclassified non-coding RNA is filed under the name Chalara sp. RNAcentral describes it as "partial internal transcribed spacer region". The stretch from base 1 to 46 matches the Rfam family "Eukaryotic small subunit ribosomal RNA", at positions 1786 to 1831 of the family's 1831-position model. The record is from RNAcentral. Lineage: Eukaryota; Fungi; Ascomycota; Leotiomycetes; Helotiales.